This 69-nucleotide transfer RNA is filed under the name Rattus norvegicus (Norway rat). It matches the Rfam family "tRNA". Rfam says of the family: Transfer RNA (tRNA) molecules are approximately 80 nucleotides in length. The record is from Rfam by way of RNAcentral. Lineage: Eukaryota; Metazoa; Chordata; Mammalia; Rodentia; Muridae.
GGGGAUUUAGCUCAGUGGUAGAGCGCUUACCUAGCAAGCAUAAGGCCCUGGGUUCGGUCCCCAGCUCCG